This 2707-nucleotide ribosomal RNA is filed under the name Vibrio parahaemolyticus. RNAcentral's name for it is "bacterial LSU rRNA". It matches the Rfam family "Bacterial large subunit ribosomal RNA". The record is from RNAcentral. Lineage: Bacteria; Pseudomonadati; Pseudomonadota; Gammaproteobacteria; Vibrionales; Vibrionaceae.
GUACCCCGAGGAAAAGAAAUCAACCGAGAUUCCGAAAGUAGCGGCGAGCGAAAUUGGACUAGCCCUUAAGCUUUACACGUGUUAGACGAACGGUCUGGAAAGUCCGACGAUACAGGGUGAUAGUCCCGUAGUUGACGACGUGUGUUCAGUGAAAUCGAGUAGGGCGGGACACGUGAUAUCCUGUCUGAAUAUGGGGGGACCAUCCUCCAAGGCUAAAUACUACUGACUGACCGAUAGUGAACCAGUACCGUGAGGGAAAGGCGAAAAGAACCCCUGUGAGGGGAGUGAAAUAGAACCUGAAACCGUGUACGUACAAGCAGUAGGAGCAGGCUUUGUCCUGUGACUGCGUACCUUUUGUAUAAUGGGUCAGCGACUUAUAUUCAGUGGCAAGGUUAACCAUCUAGGGGAGCCGUAGGGAAACCGAGUCUUAACUGGGCGUUCAGUCUCUGGAUAUAGACCCGAAACCAGGUGAUCUAGCCAUGGGCAGGUUGAAGGUUGAGUAACAUCAACUGGAGGACCGAACCGACUAAUGUUGAAAAAUUAGCGGAUGACUUGUGGCUAGGGGUGAAAGGCCAAUCAAACCUGGAGAUAGCUGGUUCUCCCCGAAAGCUAUUUAGGUAGCGCCUCGGACGAAUACUACUGGGGGUAGAGCACUGUUAAGGCUAGGGGGUCAUCCCGACUUACCAACCCUUUGCAAACUCCGAAUACCAGUAAGUACUAUCCGGGAGACACACGGCGGGUGCUAACGUCCGUCGUGGAGAGGGAAACAACCCAGACCGCCAGCUAAGGUCCCAAAUUACUACUAAGUGGGAAACGAUGUGGGAAGGCUCAGACAGCCAGGAUGUUGGCUUAGAAGCAGCCAUCAUUUAAAGAAAGCGUAAUAGCUCACUGGUCGAGUCGGCCUGCGCGGAAGAUGUAACGGGGCUAAGUAGUAAACCGAAGCUGCGGCAAUGUGCUUUUGCACAUUGGGUAGGGGAGCGUUCUGUAAGCGGUUGAAGGUGUGUGGUAACGCAUGCUGGACGUAUCAGAAGUGCGAAUGCUGACAUGAGUAACGAUAAAGGGGGUGAAAAACCUCCUCGCCGGAAGACCAAGGGUUCCUGUCCAACGUUAAUCGGGGCAGGGUAAGUCGACCCCUAAGGCGAGGCCGAAAGGCGUAGUCGAUGGGAAACGGGUUAAUAUUCCCGUACUUCUUACAAUUGCGAUGGGGGGACGGAGAAGGCUAGGUGGGCCUGGCGACGGUUGUCCAGGUUCAAGUGCGUAGGCUUAAGAGUUAGGUAAAUCCGGCUCUUUUUAAGGCUGAGACACGACGUCGAGCAUCUACGGAUGUGAAGUCAUUGAUGCCAUGCUUCCAGGAAAAGCCUCUAAGCUUCAGAUUGUAAGGAAUCGUACCCCAAACCGACACAGGUGGUCGGGUAGAGAAUACCAAGGCGCUUGAGAGAACUCGGGUGAAGGAACUAGGCAAAAUGGUACCGUAACUUCGGGAGAAGGUACGCUCUCGACGGUGAAGUCCCUCGCGGAUGGAGCUAUUGAGAGUCGCAGAUACCAGGUGGCUGCAACUGUUUAUUAAAAACACAGCACUGUGCAAAAUCGUAAGAUGACGUAUACGGUGUGACGCCUGCCCGGUGCCGGAAGGUUAAUUGAUGGGGUUAGACUUCGGUCGAAGCUCUUGAUCGAAGCCCCGGUAAACGGCGGCCGUAACUAUAACGGUCCUAAGGUAGCGAAAUUCCUUGUCGGGUAAGUUCCGACCUGCACGAAUGGCGUAAUGAUGGCCACGCUGUCUCCACCCGAGACUCAGUGAAAUUGAAAUCGCUGUGAAGAUGCAGUGUACCCGCGGCUAGACGGAAAGACCCCGUGAACCUUUACUACAGCUUGGCACUGAACAUUGACCCUACAUGUGUAGGAUAGGUGGGAGGCUUUGAAGCACGUACGCCAGUAUGUGUGGAGCCGUCCUUGAAAUACCACCCUUGUAGUGUUGAUGUUCUAACGUCGACCCCUUAUCGGGGUUGCGGACAGUGCCUGGUGGGUAGUUUGACUGGGGCGGUCUCCUCCCAAAGAGUAACGGAGGAGCACGAAGGUGGGCUAAUCACGGUUGGACAUCGUGAGGUUAGUGCAAUGGCAUAAGCCCGCUUGACUGCGAGAAUGACAAUUCGAGCAGGUGCGAAAGCAGGUCAUAGUGAUCCGGUGGUUCUGAAUGGAAGGGCCAUCGCUCAACGGAUAAAAGGUACUCCGGGGAUAACAGGCUGAUACCGCCCAAGAGUUCAUAUCGACGGCGGUGUUUGGCACCUCGAUGUCGGCUCAUCACAUCCUGGGGCUGAAGUCGGUCCCAAGGGUAUGGCUGUUCGCCAUUUAAAGUGGUACGCGAGCUGGGUUUAGAACGUCGUGAGACAGUUCGGUCCCUAUCUGCCGUGGGCGUUGGAAGAUUGAAGGGGGCUGCUCCUAGUACGAGAGGACCGGAGUGGACGAACCUCUGGUGUUCGGGUUGUGUCGCCAGACGCAUUGCCCGGUAGCUAAGUUCGGAAUCGAUAACCGCUGAAAGCAUCUAAGCGGGAAGCGAGCCCUGAGAUGAGUCUUCCCUGAUACUUUAAGUAUCCUAAAGGGUUGUCGGAGACUACGACGUUGAUAGGUCAGGUGUGUAAGUGCUGUGAGGCAUUGAGCUAACUGAUACUAAUUGCCCGUGAGGCUUAACCAUACAACACCCAAGGGGUUU